This 253-nucleotide ribosomal RNA is filed under the name uncultured bacterium. Its description in RNAcentral is "partial 16S ribosomal RNA". It matches the Rfam family "Bacterial small subunit ribosomal RNA", at positions 524 to 776 of the family's 1533-position model. The record is from RNAcentral.
UACGAAGGGGGCUAGCGUUGCUCGGAAUUACUGGGCGUAAAGGGAGCGUAGGCGGACAUUUAAGUCAGGGGUGAAAUCCCAGAGCUCAACUCUGGAACUGCCUUUGAUACUGGGUGUCUUGAGUGUGAGAGAGGUAUGUGGAACUCCGAGUGUAGAGGUGAAAUUCGUAGAUAUUCGGAAGAACACCAGUGGCGAAGGCGACAUACUGGCUCAUUACUGACGCUGAGGCGCGAAAGCGUGGGGAGCAAACAGG